RNAcentral lists this ribosomal RNA (468 nucleotides) under uncultured bacterium. Its description in RNAcentral is "partial 16S ribosomal RNA". It matches the Rfam family "Bacterial small subunit ribosomal RNA", at positions 28 to 507 of the family's 1533-position model. The record is from RNAcentral.
GACGAACGCUGGCGGCGUGCUUAACACAUGCAAGUCGAACGGAAAGGCCCUGCUUUUGUGGGGUGCUCGAGUGGCGAACGGGUGAGUAACACGUGAGUAACCUGCCCUUGACUUUGGGAUAACUUCAGGAAACUGGGGCUAAUACCGGAUAGGAGCUCCUGCUGCAUGGUGGGGGUUGGAAAGUUUCGGCGGUUGGGGAUGGACUCGCGGCUUAUCAGCUUGUUGGUGGGGUAGUGGCUUACCAAGGCUUUGACGGGUAGCCGGCCUGAGAGGGUGACCGGCCACAUUGGGCCUGCGAUACGGCCCAGACUCCUACGGGAGGCAGCAGUGGGGAAUAUUGCGCAGUGGGCGGAAGCCUGAUGCAGCAACGCCGCGUGCGGGAUGCCGGCCUUCGGGUUGUAAACCGCUUUCGCCUGUGCCGAAGCGUGAGUGACGGUAAUGGGUAAAGAAGCACCGGCUAACUACGUG